GACAGGCUACAUCGGGACUCUGAAGAGCAGCACCCUGGGGUGGGCACAGGCCCCACGGCAGGGUCAGCCUGUGGCCCUGCCUCUCCAUCAGCUCAGGCUCAUUUGUGAGAACUAAAAUAGAUACUACGGAGAACUUGCUCAACACAGAGGUGCACACCGCGCCGCGGAUCGUCAACAUCUCGGUGCUGCCCGGCCCGGCUCACGCCUUCCGCGCGCUCUGCACUGCCGAAGGGGAGCCGCCGCCCGCCCUCGCCUGGUCCGGACCAGCCCUGGGCAACGGCUCGGCCGCCGUGCGGAGCCCGGGUGAGGGUCAUGGCCACCUAGUGACCGCCGAACUGCCCGCACUGACCCAUGACGGCCGCUACACGUGUACGGCCGCCAACAGCCUGGGCCGCUCCGAGGCCAGCGUCUACCUGUUCCGCUUCCAUGGCGCCAGCGGGGCCCCGACGGUCGCCCUCCUGCUCGGCGCUCUCGGCCUCAAGGCGCUGCUGCUGCUCGGGGUCCUGGCCGCCCGCGCCGCCCGCCGCCGCCCAGAGCAUCUGGACACCCCGGACACCCCACCACGGUCCCAGGCCCAGGAGUCCAAUUAUGAAAAUUUGAGCCAGAUGAACCCCCGGAGCCCACCGGCCGCCAUGUGCUCACCGUGAGGAGUCCCUCAGCCACCAACAUCCAUUUCAGCACUGUAAAGAAUAAGGGCCAGUGCAAGGUUUGGCUGGUAUGGCCAGUCCUGGUUCUCGGCACCUUGGCAGCCCCCAGCCGGGUGACUCCUCCCCCGCUCGGGGUCAAGACCCUGCUCAAAGAGGCUCAUCUGGCCUCCUUUGUGGACAAUCAUUUCAGAGCUCCCUGAUAUUUUGCCAGCAUUUUCUAAGUGUGCAUACGUCUGUGUGUGUGUGUGUGUGUGUGUGUGUGUGUGUGUACAUGCAUUAGCUUGAGCGUGAAACUUCCAGAAAUGCUCCCUUGCCCUUUCUUACCUAGAACACCUGCUAUAGUAAAGCAGACAGGAAACUGUU
RNAcentral lists this small RNA (1010 nucleotides) under Pongo abelii (Sumatran orangutan). RNAcentral describes it as "processed transcript". The record is from RNAcentral. Lineage: Eukaryota; Metazoa; Chordata; Mammalia; Primates; Hominidae.